RNAcentral lists this ribosomal RNA (1227 nucleotides) under Gallibacterium genomosp. 3. RNAcentral describes it as "bacterial LSU rRNA". It matches the Rfam family "Bacterial large subunit ribosomal RNA", at positions 1703 to 2912 of the family's 2925-position model. Lineage: Bacteria; Pseudomonadati; Pseudomonadota; Gammaproteobacteria; Pasteurellales; Pasteurellaceae. The record is from RNAcentral.
GGUGAAGGAACUAGGCAAAAUAGCACCGUAACUUCGGGAGAAGGUGCGCUGGCGUAGUGUGAAGUCUGAACGGAUGGAGCAUGAACCAGUCGAAGUGACCCGCUGGCUGCAACUGUUUAAUAAAAACACAGCACUCUGCAAACACGUAAGUGGACGUAUAGGGUGUGACGCCUGCCCGGUGCUGGAAGGUUAAUUGAUGGUGUUAUUGAAAGAGAAGCACUUGAUCGAAGCCCCAGUAAACGGCGGCCGUAACUAUAACGGUCCUAAGGUAGCGAAAUUCCUUGUCGGGUAAGUUCCGACCUGCACGAAUGGCGUAAUGAUGGCCAGGCUGUCUCCACCCGAGACUCAGUGAAAUUGAAAUCGCCGUGAAGAUGCGGUGUACCCGCGGCUAGACGGAAAGACCCCGUGAACCUUUACUAUAGCUUGACACUGAACCUUGAAUUUUAAUGUGUAGGAUAGGUGGGAGACUGAGAGAUUGUAACGCCAGUUAUGAUGGAGUCGAUGUUGAAAUACCACCCUUUAACGUUUGAUGUUCUAACGAGGUACCUGGAACGGGUAUUCGGACAGUGUCUGGUGGGUAGUUUGACUGGGGCGGUCUCCUCCCAAAGAGUAACGGAGGAGCACGAAGGUUUGCUAAUCACGGUCGGACAUCGUGAGGUUAGUGCAAUGGUAGAAGCAAGCUUAACUGCGAGACGGACAAGUCGAGCAGGUACGAAAGUAGGUCAUAGUGAUCCGGUGGUUCUGAAUGGAAGGGCCAUCGCUCAACGGAUAAAAGGUACUCCGGGGAUAACAGGCUGAUACCGCCCAAGAGUUCAUAUCGACGGCGGUGUUUGGCACCUCGAUGUCGGCUCAUCACAUCCUGGGGCUGAAGUAGGUCCCAAGGGUAUGGCUGUUCGCCAUUUAAAGUGGUACGCGAGCUGGGUUUAGAACGUCGUGAGACAGUUCGGUCCCUAUCUGCCGUGGGCGUUGGAGGAUUGAGGGGGGCUGCUCCUAGUACGAGAGGACCGGAGUGGACGCACCGCUGGUGUUCCAGUUGUUUCGCCAGAAGCAUUGCUGGGUAGCUAAGUGCGGAAGAGAUAAGUGCUGAAAGCAUCUAAGCACGAAACUUGCCCCGAGAUGAGUUCUCCCUAACGAGAAGUUAGUAAGGGUUGUUUAAGACGAAGACGUAGAUAGGUGGGGUGUGUAAGCGGUGUGAGCCGUUGAGCUAACCCAUACUAAUUGCCCGAG